GACGAACGCUGGCGGCGUGCUUAACACAUGCAAGUCGAACGAAGAGCGAUGGAAGCUUGCUUCUAUCAAUCUUAGUGGCGAACGGGUGAGUAACGCGUAAUCAACCUGCCCUUCAGAGGGGGACAACAGUUGGAAACGACUGCUAAUACCGCAUACGAUCUAACCUCGGCAUCGAGGAUAGAUGAAAGGUGGCCUCUACAUGUAAGCUAUCACUGAAGGAGGGGAUUGCGUCUGAUUAGCUAGUUGGAGGGGUAACGGCCCACCGAGGCGAUGAUCAGUAGCCGGUCUGAGAGGAUGAACGGCCACAUUGGGACUGAGACACGGCCCAGACUCCUACGGGAGGCAGCAGUGGGGAAUCUUCCGCAAUGGACGAAAGUCUGACGGAGCAACGCCGCGUGAGUGAUGACGGCCUUCGGGUUGUAAAGCUCUGUUAAUCGGGACGAAAGGCCUUCUUGCGAAUAGGGAGAAGGAUUGACGGUACCGGAAUAGAAAGCCACGGCUAACUACGUG
Molecule: ribosomal RNA, 510 nt
Filed under: uncultured bacterium
Lineage: Bacteria
Description: partial 16S ribosomal RNA
Rfam family: Bacterial small subunit ribosomal RNA
Source: RNAcentral